UAGGGAACCUUCGGCAAUGGGGGCAACCCUGACCGAGCAACGCCGCGUGAGUGAAGAAGGUUUUCGGAUCGUAAAGCUCUGUUGUAAGAGAAGAACGUGUGUGAGAGUGGAAAGUUCACACAGUGACGGUAACUUACCAGAAAGGGACGGCUAACUACGUGCCAGCAGCCGCGGUAAUACGUAGGUCCCGAGCGUUGUCCGGAUUUAUUGGGCGUAAAGCGAGCGCAGGCGGUUUAAUAAGUCUGAAGUUAAAGGCAGUGGCUUAACCAUUGUUCGCUUUGGAAACUGUUAAACUUGAGUGCAGAAGGGGAGAGUGGAAUUCCAUGUGUAGCGGUGAAAUGCGUAGAUAUAUGGAGGAACACCGGUGGCGAAAGCGGCUCUCUGGUCUGUAACUGACGCUGAGGCUCGAAAGCGUGGGGAGCAAACAGG
This 429-nucleotide ribosomal RNA is filed under the name bacterium. RNAcentral describes it as "partial 16S ribosomal RNA". It matches the Rfam family "Bacterial small subunit ribosomal RNA", at positions 355 to 776 of the family's 1533-position model. The record is from RNAcentral.